GACGAACGCUGGCGGCGUGCUUAACACAUGCAAGUCGAACGGAAAGGCCUCUUUCGGGGGGUACUCGAGUGGCGAACGGGUGAGUAACACGUGAGUAACCUGCCCUUGACUUUGGGAUAACUUAAGGAAACUGGGGCUAUUACGGGAUAGGAGCUCUUGCUGCAGGGGGGGGGUUGGAAAGUUUCGGCGGUUGGGGUUGGACUGGCGGCUUAUCAGCUUGUUGGUGGGGUAGUGGCUUACCAAGGCUUUGACGGGUAGCCGGCCUGGGAGGGUGACCGGCCACAUUGGGACUGAGAUACGGCCCAGACUCCUACGGGAGGCAGCAGUGGGGAAUAUUGCACAAUGGGUGGAGGCCUGAUGCAGCAACGCCGUGUGCGGGAUGACGGCCUUCGGGUUGUAAACCGCUUUCGCUCAUGACGAAGCUUUGUGUGACGGUAGUGGGUAAAGAAGCACCGGCUAACUACGUG
This 467-nucleotide ribosomal RNA is filed under the name uncultured bacterium. Its description in RNAcentral is "partial 16S ribosomal RNA". It matches the Rfam family "Bacterial small subunit ribosomal RNA", at positions 28 to 507 of the family's 1533-position model. The record is from RNAcentral.